Molecule: ribosomal RNA, 493 nt
Filed under: uncultured bacterium
Lineage: Bacteria
Description: partial 16S ribosomal RNA
Rfam family: Bacterial small subunit ribosomal RNA
Source: RNAcentral
ACGAACGCUGGCGGCGUGCUUAACCCCUGCAAGUCGUACGGUGAAGCGCCUUCCUUUUUGGUGGGUGUGGAUGAGUGGCGAACGGGUGAGUAACACGUGAGUAACCUGCCCCCUUCUUCUGGAUAACCGCAUGAAAGUGUGGCUAAUACGGGAUAUUCUGGGUCUGUCGCAUGAUGGGUCUGGGAAAGAUAUUGUUUCGGUGGGGGAUGGGCUCGCGGCCUAUCAGCUUGUUGGUGGGGUGAUGGCCUACCAAGGCGGUGACGGGUAGCCGGCCUGAGAGGGUGGACGGUCACACUGGGACUGAGACACGGCCCAGACUCCUACGGGAGGCAGCAGUGGGGAAUAUUGCACAAUGGGCGCAAGCCUGAUGCAGCGACGCCGCGUGAGGGAUGGAGGCCUUCGGGUUGUGAACCUCUUUCGCCAGUGAAGCAGGCCUGCCUCGUUUGUGGGUGGGUUGACGGUAGCUGGAUAAGAAGCGCCGGCUAACUACGUG